GAAGGCCUAUAAAAUACACAUACCUCCUGCAACAUGUAUGCUGGCAAUUGUAGUUUCUGUGGUGUGAAAACUUGAACUUUGUUUUUUAUUAUUUAUUUAAGUACUUGUGAAUAUUUGUUAUGGGUCAAGGAUGGAAAAUGUUACCCUUGAUAGUAUUCCUACUAUUUUGGAGGACUGCUGAUGGACUUAAAGGGGGUGUUUAUUCAAAUUCUGACACCGUCUCCCCUCAUGUG
This is a long non-coding RNA of Carassius carassius (crucian carp), 233 nucleotides long. RefSeq lists it as uncharacterized. The transcript has 3 exons. The record is from RefSeq and is a predicted model, not a curated record. NCBI's taxonomy places the organism in Eukaryota, Metazoa, Chordata, Actinopteri, Cypriniformes, Cyprinidae.